This is a long non-coding RNA of Amphiprion ocellaris (clown anemonefish), 1924 nucleotides long. NCBI's taxonomy places the organism in Eukaryota, Metazoa, Chordata, Actinopteri, Pomacentridae. The record is from Ensembl.
AGUUUAGCCUGUUAGCAUGCUAAAAGUUUCAAACUGAAUAAGCUGUUUCUACCUGCAGGAUUUUGCAGACUGUUUUAAGGAGGCUUGGGAAGGUACUUCUGUACAGCUGAACUGCGGCGUGGAUCUCAGUGCUGAUUGGUUAAAGCCAGAGAGGGCAAAUGCUGAUUGGUUGCCAUAAAGUCAAACAUUGCGAACCCUUCAUUGUUCUAUUCGUGCGUUCUGUUCAUGCCACCGAGGUCCUACAGUGAAAAGCCACUCAAUGUACAGGACAAAGUAAAAAUCUGGCCUGAUGAUGUUGAAUGUCCAUGUCUGAGCAAAAUUUCAUGGCAGUCUUAGUUGUUGAGAUUUUUAUCUAAAAAAAACAAAACACUGACAACCUGACGUGACGGUCAGUGGAUCAUUCUCUGAGUAUCAUUAUUGGAAAGAAACCACCUCAUGUUAAAGCAUCUAAAUGCUGUUUAGAUAUUUCAGUGUGAACCAACAUGAUAAACUGACCAACUGACUGAGAAAGCAACGAUAUUCCCAGAGUCCUGCUGCUAUUGUGGCCAGAAAUAAUGUUUUUCUCUGACAGUCUUUCUGCAGCCGACCAUCUCUGCCAUCACUGUGGAAUCAAUACAUCCUUCUGGCAAACAUGUUGAAGGUAUAUACACAGUGCUGUGAAAAUGUAUUUGCCCCCUUCCUGAUGUCCUGUAUCAUCUCAAAAUUCUUACACUUAAAUGUUCCAGAUCAUCAAAUUAUUUUUUAUAUUUAUUUGGUAUUAGACAAAGAUAAUCCACAAAACACAAAACGCUGUUUUUAAACUUUUAAAUUGUGGUUUAUAGCUUGUGAUCAGUCUUUUACAUCACCGUAGUUUUAAUAUGGAACAGAAGACAUCUGUACAGGGGUGGCAAAUAGUUUUUAACAGUACUGUACAUAAGAGGUUUUAACAUUUGGCUCUAAAAACAAAUGUUAAAACCUCUUUUAGGACCUGGGAAAGAUUCCUUUUGAGUGGCUGAACUGCUGUGUGGGUCUUAAUGCUGAUUUGUUAAACUUGGAAAGGACAACCAACAGCAUUUUUCUGACCUCUUGAUGUCAAAGCAUUUAAAUGCUGUUAGGAUAAUCUCAUUGUGAACCAAAGUGAUAAACUGACCAACUGCCUGAGAAGGCAAUGAUAUCCCCAGAGUCCUGCUGCCAUUGUGGCCAGAAGUAAUGUUUUUCUCUGACAGUCUUUCUACAGCCAACCACCUCUGCCAUCACUGUGGAAACUGUGGAAACAAAUUCAACACAUCCAUCUGCCAAACAUGUUAAAGACGCGGUACUCUUUGUGGUUUUCACAAUGUUUGCUGUGACGCUCAUAGUGAUAUUUGCCCUGGUUAUUGCCUAUAAAUACAAAUGUCACAAAGUGCGAGGUGCUGAGGUCACCACCUACAGAAACAAACCCAGUUCUUCAGAGGAAGCAACAGUUGGUGUAGAUAUUUAUGAAAAUCAAGAAGUUGUUCAGAACUCAAAGCCAAUGAAAUCCAGACAGCAGAGUGCCUGUCUGCAGUAUGACGACGUAGGUGAAGACCAACCAGACUAUGAAAACAUCACAGAAGACAUCUACUGUAACCAAAGUUUCCAUCGAGCCUAUAACAGAUGAACUGUUUGUACUGUUUUUAGCAUGAACAACAGCACAACACAGAUUCAUGUACCACUGCAAUCUGACAAUUACAUCCUCUAACUGAAGACUUUGUUGGUCUUUGUGACCCAGAUUUGUUUUAUUAUUAACUGAAGAUAUAAUUGAAUAUGUACAUAUUCAUGGUUUUAACUCUUUAAACUUUUGCCUUUGCAUUAAUCUUCUUCAGUCUGUACUCCUUGUAUCCAAUUGUGGAUAUUAUGUAAAAUUUCAACCAUACAACUUAAAUGUUAAUUACCUAUUUGUAUAUAAUAAAAGUAAAUAAGUAAA